GACGAACGCUGGCGGCGUGCCUAAUACAUGCAAGUAGAACGCUGAAGAGAGGAGCUUGCUCUUCUUGGAUGAGUUGCGAACGGGUGAGUAACGCGUAGGUAACCUGCCUUGUAGCGGGGGAUAACUAUUGGAAACGAUAGCUAAUACCGCAUAACAAUGGAUGACACAUGUCAUUUAUUUGAAAGGGGCAAUUGCUCCACUACAAGAUGGACCUGCGUUGUAUUAGCUAGUAGGUGAGGUAAUGGCUCACCUAGGCGACGAUACAUAGCCGACCUGAGAGGGUGAUCGGCCACACUGGGACUGAGACACGGCCCAGACUCCUACGGGAGGCAGCAGUAGGGAAUCUUCGGCAAUGGGGGCAACCCUGACCGAGCAACGCCGCGUGAGUGAAGAAGGUUUUCGGAUCGUAAAGCUCUGUUGUAAGUCAAGAACGGGUGUGAGAGUGGAAAGUUCACACUGUGACGGUAGCUUACCAGAAAGGGACGGCUAACUACGUGCCAGCAGCCGCGGUAAUACGUAGGUCCCGAGCGUUGUCCGGAUUUAUUGGGCGUAAAGCGAGCGCAGGCGGUUUGAUAAGUCUGAAGUUAAAGGCUGUGGCUCAACCAUAGUUCGCUUUGGAAACUGUCAAACUUGAGUGCAGAAGGGGAGAGUGGAAUUCCAUGUGUAGCGGUGAAAUGCGUAGAUAUAUGGAGGAACACCGGUGGCGAAAGCGGCUCUCUGGUCUGUAACUGACGCUGAGGCUCGAAAGCGUGGGAGCGAACAGGAUUAGAUACCCUGGUAGUCCACGCCGUAAACGAUGAGUGCUAGGUGUUGGAUCCUUUCCGGGAUUCAGUGCCGCAGCUAACGCAUUAAGCACUCCGCCUGGGGAGUACGACCGCAAGGUUGAAACUCAAAGGAAUUGACGGGGGCCCGCACAAGCGGUGGAGCAUGUGGUUUAAUUCGAAGCAACGCGAAGAACCUUACCAGGUCUUGACAUCCCGAUGCUAUUUCUAGAGAUAGAAAGUUACUUCGGUACAUCGGUGACAGGUGGUGCAUGGUUGUCGUCAGCUCGUGUCGUGAGAUGUUGGGUUAAGUCCCGCAACGAGCGCAACCCCUAUUGUUAGUUGCCAUCAUUCAGUUGGGCACUCUAGCGAGACUGCCGGUAAUAAACCGGAGGAAGGUGGGGAUGACGUCAAAUCAUCAUGCCCCUUAUGACCUGGGCUACACACGUGCUACAAUGGUUGGUACAACGAGUUGCGAGUCGGUGACGGCGAGCUAAUCUCUUAAAGCCAAUCUCAGUUCGGAUUGUAGGCUGCAACUCGCCUACAUGAAGUCGGAAUCGCUAGUAAUCGCGGAUCAGCACGCCGCGGUGAAUACGUUCCCGGGCCU
RNAcentral lists this ribosomal RNA (1368 nucleotides) under uncultured bacterium. RNAcentral describes it as "bacterial SSU rRNA". It matches the Rfam family "Bacterial small subunit ribosomal RNA", at positions 28 to 1381 of the family's 1533-position model. The record is from RNAcentral.